Molecule: long non-coding RNA, 4139 nt
Organism: Oenanthe melanoleuca
Lineage: Eukaryota; Metazoa; Chordata; Aves; Passeriformes; Muscicapidae
Exons: 3
Source: RefSeq, a predicted model, not a curated record
GAGCUUUAGCUGUUAUCUGGAGCUGCUUGCACAUAGAGAUGAGUUUUUCAGCCUCCAACAGAAGCAAAGGCUUGUCAUCAUCAUGUACCUGGUACACGGUCCAGGAAGACAAAAUAACUGUGUUGAAGACUCCAACAUUAAGUUAAGGGAGAAGACAGCAUAAGCAACUUCUAAGCAGUAUCACUGAUGCCAUAAGAUACAUCACCUGAUCAGAAAGAGCAUGAAGAGCUGAAGCAAGCUUUGUGCCCUCUGUGGCAAAAAUCUGAAAGGAGGAGAAAGCAAUUAACAAAAUGGAACUACAACAGAAGGGUUCAGAAGUUGUGUUUGAAGCUGUAGAAUUGCACAACAGAAGACAUGGAGACAGAAGACCAUUUCAAACUCAUAUUCCUCAACAGUACAGUUUAAGGAAAGCAAGCAAGGAGAGAAAGAAACAAGGUAGAGCUUACUGUACCUUCUGAGACCAUUUUUCCUUUUUUCCUGCCCAUGGAAAGAUUCAGUUCAUAGCAAGUGAAUCAAAUGACUGAUUACAUGACACUAGGUUUAGGAGGUUUCCUAAACCUAACAUAAAGACACUGUCAGAAACAGUGUAAUAUCAGUUAUAAUCAGCUAAGGACAUUAAAUACCUCACGCCUGAAAAAUGGGUAUUUGGUGUAACAUUUUUCUCUACAUUGAACACACUUAAGAUCAAAGAAGGAAACAAGAACCCAUUCUUUAAAGAGGCUACAACAGGCUUAAACAUGCCCCCUUGUUCCAAACAGGUUAACUCAGGCUAGCUACAGUAUUAAGUCUUGGUAGUAUGAUUUAUUUUUUAUUUUAGCUUUCAGUAUAUUGCAGCAUAUUCCUACUGUUUCAAUAGCAACAAUGCACUUUUUUAUUAUAUUGCAUGACAGUAGAGUAUGUGGUAAAAAUUAAUGAACAGGAAUUAAAGUUUAUUUACAAUCAAAGUGUUUAAAGCACGUUACAUAACUAGUUACAUUCGUCUUCAGUUUAUGAUUCAUUUAAUAAACUGACAAACUUUGAUAUUUUACUGUCAACCAUGCAGUCAGGAUGCAUAUUGCCAAGAUAUUGUUAUGUCCCCACCUAGUUGUGACAGGGAAAGAAGUCAAACAGAGAACAGCAGAUGUCAAGUAAACACAACAAACCCAAAAGCAACUUACCCCUGGUCUGGGCAGUGAUAGGUAGACACGCUUCUCUCCUAUGAAGAACACACAGGUUUAUACCAAAAUUUGUAUGCAGAUUUUAAUCAGUGGGAUCAAAUGCCUUACUUUAUCCUUCCUUAAAUUGCAGUACUUAUAAAAGUAAAUUACUUACCUGUAAUUCCUCCUCUCUGAAUACUGCAGAUCCUCUGUCUCAUGCUUUCAGAGACAGGCCAAGAGCUCUGUACUGCUCAGAUUUUAGCAACAGGCAAUUAAGAAAGCUUCUCUGAACAUUUCCCUCAGCAAUAUUUCUAGUCCCCUGCAUGUAUUUCACAAGGAAAUAAAGCAGCUCUCUCUAAUGUCUAGCUACAUGCACUCGUAGUUGUCGCAAAAUACAGAACAUAAAAUUGUAGCUCCAUGUGUGGCUUUUCUUAACAUGGGUUGAACAGACUGAAAUUUGGACUAGACAGUGCCACUAGUGAGAAACAGCUAGGCAGGUUUUCCUAAGUAAUGCAAAUAAAACUCUCAUGUUGUACUGUACUAUAUGUAUCCCGGGUGUGCUGUAUUUUAUAAAGAAGGAAGUUCUACAGCAUUUCACACACUUAUUGAAUUGUUUCUUGUUUUGCCAGAGGCCUACAACAUUCCAAGUCUGAGCAAAACAAAUUAAGAAAGAAAAAAUCCUUUUUGGGCGUUACCUAAAAGUUGUGACAAGAGUCCCUCUGAAGUCCAACAAGAGAAAACAAACAAACAAAACCAGAUAAGCCCACAAUACAGAGGAAAACUUUGUAGAAGACAGGUGAAUAUAAGAGACCAAACUACUUCUAAGGACAUAAUUGGUGGCUACUGUGAAACAAUCCAGAUUCAAAGGAAAGUCUCUUACUAGACUGGGCCAUGUGACAAGGAAAAUGGAGAUUUCUUAACAGUGUUUUGGCACUACAAGAUCUAAUGCACCCAAGGCCACAGAGAGAACACAAGCUAUGCUUAGUGUCUUACCAGUGGUGGUGGUAUCAGAACGCUUUAUGCUGAAAGGAAGACUGAGGAAAUGAGCGACACUAACAAGAACACACUUGUGUGGUUAUGCCAAACAACAGAAGUCUUCACUGCAUCACUCAUGAUGGCCUCCAACCUGCACAGAAACACCUACCCAUCCUCCUUUCCCUCCAAGCAAGGACAUUGGGUUGCCCUUGUGAAAUGCUUUAAAGAAAGUGGAAAAUACCACUUAUGGAAAAUGUGUCAUCUUCCAUCAGCAGCCCCAAGAGAAAGUUAUUAACUACAGAGGAAGCUGGGCAUCUGAUAUCAAGAACAAUUUGUUUGGAGAGCCAAGGAUAUGCUUUGCUGUGGUUGCGUGAUUCUCAUCCUAUUAUUUUUAAAUACUGUAAUAUCUAUACAUAUAUAUGUAUUCACACAUGCACAGAUAUAAGUAUAUAAAAAGGUUAUCAUUCAACCUUGCUAAACCAUUGUACGAAUUAAAAAAAAAAAUCAGAUACUGCAUGACCAGCCCUAAAGAUUCUGAAUUUAUUUUAACACAUUAACAAUAGCAUAAUAUCAUAAUUUAAGUUUCAUUUUAUAAAAUAUUCCCUUUAAGGAAAGUGAGUGUGACCCUGGCUCCCAAAACAAACGAAAAAUCUGCUGAAAGUUAAAAGGCCCAUGAAGGCUCUCUGAUUGCUGCACAUAUUUAUGUGGCAUUCCAGACAAAGGUGGAAGAACAGCUAGAAUAAAAAUCAUGUUUUUCUCCAAAGUCUCAAACUGCCAAUAACCUGCAAUACACACAAUUAUUAUAAAUCCACUCAGAAUUUCAACAUGUUUCCUUUUUAUAAGCCUUGAAGCUCAGGCAUGCACUCAUUUACCAACCAGCAGCAACAAUUUCAGAUAUUCACUCCAUGACUGGCUGCUACUGUGCUCAAAAUGCUGGCAGUAAAGAACUGCUUACACAAAAAAAAAAAAAAAAAAAAAAAAAAAAAAAAAUCAAGAAGAGAAAGUUAAACUACAAAAUAAAGUCUGAGAAUGAGAUCUCAAUAGCAAGAUGAAGUAUUAUAUCAUUGAUGAAGUGUUAUCUAACCUGAUUUACUUUUUCUGUAUCCUGUAUACAAAAAAUUAAGUGCCUGUAUUUAGCUAAAUCUAAGCUUUUGAACCUGAGCAAUUUUCUUAAAAAUACAAGACAUUCAGUAUUAUUAUAUAUUACAUUCUAUCUGUAUGCAAUUAUACCUUAAAGACUGAAACAAACACACAGCUCUAAGAAGUAUGACAGGCUACACUAAAGACAUGAUCUGAAGGAAAAUUAUGUGGUAUAAAAAUGAAAACCAAAAUGCCUUCCAUUUUUAAAGGUAAAUUACCCUAUGCUAAAAGUAGACAGAGAAUUUUUUUUCAUUAAGAUUCCAAGGUUUUCUUCUACAUGUUGUACAAAUACCAAUAAACUUACCAACCAGAGAAAAUAUCCCAAGAUUGUGCAGAGUCGUCAGAAAUUCCAUCCAGGAGAAAGGACAGCAGUUUAAAAAUCAAAUAACUACAUUCACUACAUUAUGAAGUGAAUACAAGGCAAGCUGACAGUAUAGAAUAUAUAUGUAUAUAUGUAUUUUCCACAACGUCACAAUUCAAGCUGUAUCUUGACUGUUAUGAAUUGGUAUGUUCUAGAUAAAACAAAGGGUGGGUGAAAGCCCCACACCCCUUGUAUUUGGACACUGCUGUCAAAGAGCUGUGUCGAACACUUUUGUGACCUUUGAACAGCUCCACUCGAUUUUGUCAGAACUAAUCCCAGUGAAGAAAAUUAAACACAGCUAAUCUUAGAUAAAUCAGGCCUUUAAAUAUUGGGUUGCUUUUAUUUGAAAAAAUCCAAUGAGCAGCCUGAUUUGACAUCUCUACAAACUAAACAUAUUUUCUCUUACUACCUAGAUCCCACAGGAUGUGGAACUGUUUACUGCACUCAACUCUUAAGAAACCAGAAUUUCUUAAAUCACACUUAAAAUUCUUAGAUUUGAAGUUAUAUUUUUCUAUUUCUAUACAGCC